UACGGAGGGGGUUAGCGUUGUUCGGAAUUACUGGGCGUAAAGCGCACGUAGGCGGACUGAUAAGUUGGGGGUGAAAUCCCGGGGCUCAACCCCGGAACUGCCUCCAAAACUAUCAGUCUUGAGUUCGAGAGAGGUGAGUGGAAUUCCGAGUGUAGAGGUGAAAUUCGUAGAUAUUCGGAGGAACACCAGUGGCGAAGGCGGCUCACUGGCUCGAUACUGACGCUGAGGUGCGAAAGCGUGGGGAGCAAACAGG
RNAcentral lists this ribosomal RNA (253 nucleotides) under uncultured bacterium. Its description in RNAcentral is "partial 16S ribosomal RNA". It matches the Rfam family "Bacterial small subunit ribosomal RNA", at positions 524 to 776 of the family's 1533-position model. The record is from RNAcentral.